AACGCAUAUUGCGCUCUCUGGUAUUCCGGAGAGCAUGCUUGUUUGAGUAUCAGUAAACACCUCAAAUCCCUCUACUUGUUGGAGGAGUUUGGACUUGAGCAAUCCCAACUUUUCGAAAGAGAAGGCGGGUUGCUUGAAAUGCAGGUGCAGCUAGAUUCUUUCUUCUGAGCUAUAAGCAUACUUAUUUAAUCCCGUCAAACGGAUUAUUACUUUUGCUGCAGCUAACAUAAAGGUUGAAGAGUCGCUAUGGCUGACUGAUGCAGGAUUUAACAUGUCGCGCAAGCGAUCUGUAAACUCGAUCUCAAAUCAAGCAAGACUACCCGCUGAACUUAA
Molecule: unclassified non-coding RNA, 333 nt
Filed under: Mortierella sp.
Lineage: Eukaryota; Fungi; Mortierellomycota; Mortierellomycetes; Mortierellales; Mortierellaceae
Also listed under: 1 other name
Description: partial contains 5.8S ribosomal RNA, internal transcribed spacer 2, and large subunit ribosomal RNA
Rfam family: 5.8S ribosomal RNA (bases 1-52)
Source: RNAcentral